This 253-nucleotide ribosomal RNA is filed under the name uncultured bacterium. RNAcentral describes it as "partial 16S ribosomal RNA". It matches the Rfam family "Bacterial small subunit ribosomal RNA", at positions 524 to 776 of the family's 1533-position model. The record is from RNAcentral.
UACGAGGGGGGCGAGCGUUGUUCGGAAUUAUUGGGCGUAAAGGGUGCGUAGGCGGGUCUUUAAGUCAGGGGUGAAAUCCUGGAGCUCAACUCCAGAACUGCCUUUGAUACUGAGGAUCUUGAGUUCGGGAGAGGUGAGUGGAACUGCGAGUGUAGAGGUGAAAUUCGUAGAUAUUCGCAAGAACACCAGUGGCGAAGGCGGCUCACUGGCCCGAUACUGACGCUGAGGCACGGAAGCGUGGGGAGCAAACAGG